GACGAACGCUGGCGGCGUGCCUAACACAUGCAAGUCGAGCGGGAUCCAUCCAGUAGCAAUACUGGUGAAGAUCUAGCGGCGAACGGGUGAGUAACACGUGAGAAACCUGCCCCAGACUCUGGGAUAACACGAGGCAACUCGUGCUAAUACCGGAUACCUUCUUUAGGUCGCAUGGCCAGCUGAAGAAAGAUUUAUCGGUUUGGGAGGGUCUCGAGGCCUAUCAGCUAGUUGGCGGGGUAACGGCCCACCAAGGCAUCGACGGGCAGCUGGUCUGGGAGGGCGAUCAGCCACACUGGGACUGAGACACGGCCCAGACUCCUACGGGAGGCAGCAGGGGGGAAUCUUGCGCAUGGGGCGAGAGCCUGACGCAGCAACGCGGCGUGCGGGAUGAAGGCCUUCGGGUUGUAAAGCUCUGUUGUCAUGGAAGAACAAGUGCCGAGGUAACUGCCGGCACCUUGACUGUACCUGACCAGAAAGCCACGGCUA
Molecule: ribosomal RNA, 486 nt
Filed under: uncultured bacterium
Lineage: Bacteria
Description: partial 16S ribosomal RNA
Rfam family: Bacterial small subunit ribosomal RNA
Source: RNAcentral